Molecule: RNA transcript, 4518 nt
Organism: Panicum hallii
Lineage: Eukaryota; Viridiplantae; Streptophyta; Magnoliopsida; Poales; Poaceae
Exons: 5
Source: RefSeq, a predicted model, not a curated record
UUUACAGAUCAGCCCCUCCAUAGCUUAGGUUCCUGCAGUUCAGUAUGUUCGCUAUAGGAGGUGACGAUUUUGGUGGCUUGCAGGAAUCCGAAGUGCUCCUUUGAUCAGCUCUGGUUUGAUGCUGGUGGUUCUGCCCGUCUGAAGUCUCUUGGGAUUCAUUCAGUGAGCUUGCAUCCUGGUGGCUUCCAUUGAACACCAGAUCACAGGGUAUGUUUCGUUCCACUCUCUGGGCAAUACUCUGUUAAUCUUGAGUGUACGCCUUCAACGACGCCCGCAACGGUUGCGCCCUCAACGGCGACGGCCGCGGGCCCGCCCUCAACGACACCGGCAGCGAUUCCGCCCUCAACGCCGACGGCCGCGGGCCCGCCCUCAACGACACCGGCAGCGAUUCCGCCCUCAACGCCGACGGCCGCGGGCCCGCUCUCAACGCUGACGUCCGCGUGCCCGCCCCAACCGCGCGCCUCCCCCACGCUCGCUCGCGAGCCGCAUCCUGAACCGCCCCCGGCCUCGUCGCUGCCGCCGUCCACGCGCGGAGACGACUCCGCACAGAUACUGGUUUCCUCUGGUUGAAGUCCAAGUUGAAAUUAACUAACAUUGCUGAGUGUCUGUAUGUGUUAACAGCCUGUAGUGCCAGGAGCUCUCCAAGUCCAAGCAGUUCUUCACAUCCCCUCACAAAGGUGAAUUUCGCCUACCUCUCCUUUGUGGUCUAUUGGUCCGAUUGUCCAAUUGAUUUCUGUUGUGCAGUGUCACGUGAUCUGUUCGUGUGUGGGGUAAAUAGUAACGGGUUUUGUUCAGAUUGAUUGUCCGAUGGGGUGUGAGUACUGUGAGGCACUGUGGAUUUUUACUGUUAUUUGGAUGCAGGGCUUGCCUAAGCUCAGAGCCCGAGGGAUUUACUAGCUGAAGCAAAGUCAGAUAUUGUUGUGAAAUGUGAAGGUUAGUUCUUCUCUUGUAAGGAGUAUAUCUCAGCCCUGGUACUAGGGGCUGUCUUUUGAUAUGAAUAAACCAUAGUGACUGAAAGAUCAUUGCGUGGGGCUUUACUGAAAUAUCUAAUACAUAAUUCAGAAUUGGCAGUUUGGACAUAGGGUCUGAAUUGAAUGCAUGCACACUUUGGUUUGUGUGUUUCUGAUCAACCAUUAGCAUCUUAUGUACACGAUACAACACUCAAUUCCGUUGACAAUAUUCUACACAUGCAUAUCACUUGUUCAAUAUAGAAGUCUCCCUUCUGUUUAAACCAUAUGAUGAAAUAUCGAUGCAAUGCAACUUGCUAUGACAUGAAGUAGUCAGCCCCAAGAGUUAAAUGAGGUGAAGGUGAGUCUCGCAUGUGCACCCUGACCCUGUGUGUGCAGCUGAUCAAUAUAGCAGCAUUAAUCUUGCAAACUUGGCAGAACAUAGGGUGUCUCUUGAACAGAGCUUAUCAUCAAUGAACAAAUAUUAGACUCAACAUAGGAAGCCAGUGUAGGCAAAUAUUAGACUCAACAUAGGACUUCUGUCUUCAACUUGAAAUGAGAAAGAAUUAGAACAAACUAUCAUAAGUUAGAAUGUGGUCCAAAUUUAAGUUAAAAGCUGAUCUACUCUUACAGAAAGUUCUUAGAUGAACAGAGCUGACUUAAAUUGUAAAUAAACUCUGAGAAUAAAAGUCAGACCUACAGGAGGCACUUGAAGUUAUACCUUUUUGCAUCAUCAUGCUUGUUAGUUGUGCAUCUGUUGGUGAUCUUGGUUGUUGUCCUAAAGCAACCUCCAUUCAGUUUGCUAUGAUUCAACAUGAUCUUGAUCAAUUGGCAUUAUUUUAUAUAUAGUCCAGGAGCAUGUGUAUGAUCGAGGCUAUUCUUUCAGUCUUAUUUCUCGCAGAUUCAGAGCAUUGAUUAUUUGCUUGGAAUUAUUCUUUCAGUCUGAAUUCUUACAGAUUCAAAAUAUUCUUGCAUUGAUUAACAACCAGUAGAGCAAGUCCAAGCAGGCAGACAUGAGUUGAUCCACUCGACCACUCGGUUGAUCUACUUUUCCAAAAAUAAUUCUUUUUCUUUGUUUGACAUUUUGACUUCAUAUAUGAUUGAGGCAUGGACACUGGUGGUGAACCCGGUGGAGUUCAAAUCUAGCACAGUGGGUAAAUUUAUCUGCCCAGGCGCCUCAUAAUCUGGAAGCAGUCCAGUAUCUCUACUCUGCCCAUCCCUCUAUGCUGUGAAACCUUUUUUCAUUCCUGGUACCUGAAGGAUUAGCUGUUCCUUCUAAUGUUCAGCUGUUUCUAGAGCUCCUCUCUCAACAACAAAUUAUUUUCUGGACAUAAUCUAGCUAAGACAAAAAUGGUUGCUGAAAAAUAAUUGUCUAUUUCUGUUCUGAACUUAAAACAAUUGUCAGUAGUAGAAAAAGAUUUGGCAGCUGGAGAUAUAGCAGAAGGUUGUCUUUCCAUGAUUUCCUCAGUUGGUGCCUGACGAUGCUGGUAUGAUGUUACAGGAGAUUUAAAUGGACGCCUUGGUGCUGAAACAAGUGAGCACCAUACCUAUCAAUUCAACUGGGAGCUCUCUUCAGAAAAAUCAUAUACUGUAUGAGCUGCUGUGUAAUUUCAUGGAUAUAAAAAAUCCUUUGUAUUCCAUGACCCAAAACAUGGUGGCUCAUAUUUGAUUCUGAUCAACUGAGUCUAGGAUCUGUCCUUAUUUAAUACAGUUUCACAUGACACUUAUUUACAAUACUAAUGCAGCAAGUUAGAAAUUUGGUUAAUUAAUAAAAUAUAGUAACUCUAGUCCUUCAAGCGCUGAUUUGACCAAGAUGCCCCUGGUCGACCAUUCGAGUCUUGCUUCUACCCGGCCGUCCGACCCUCGUACGGUCGCACCAUCGUCAUCAUCUCGCGAUCUGCGGAGCCGACCCCCUCCUCUUCUGCCGUCACUCCCAGCAGACUGACGCCGCCGUAGCCUCGGGGAAGGGGAGAGCCGGCCUUCACCGGACGCACAGUAACCAGCUAGCUAGAGUUCCCCCCAGGACGCAGGGUCAUGAGCCAAGACGAGGGGGGCAAGACCAACAGCUCGGAGGCGCCGGAGCUCAAGCUGGAGAACGACGACCUCCUGGAGGAUAGCUUUCGCCGCCUGCCGGCGCUGCCGUCCUCCCUCCUCCGAGCCUCUCGUGUGCAAGCGCUGGUGCCGCGUGGUCUCGGACCCCAUUUUCCUCCGCGAAUUCCGCGCCCACCACCGGAAGCCCCCUCUCCUGGGCUUCUUCUCCCGCGACCGCGAUUUAUCGGGGAGCGUGGAGUUCACUCCGGUGCUGGAUCCACCGGAUCAGAUCCCUGCCUCGCACUUCUCCUUGCAGGUCGCCAGGGGCAGCAAGGUCCUGCACUGCCACCACGGCCGUGUCCUUAUCUACAGCCCGGAAGAGCAGCACUUGUUGGUGUGGGAUCCCGUCACCGGCGACCUGCGCCACCUUGCCCUGCCCCCAGCGUUGGACGGAGGCAAGGUCGUCGUACUUGAUGGUGGGGUCGUUUGCACUUCCACCGACCAAGGCCACGUCCGGUGCCUGCCACUCGGAUCCCUUCCAGGUGGUCGUGGUACUUGGAGACAGUGCACGAUUUUAUGGCUGUGUUUACACAUUGGAGACCAGGGGAUGGGGCAAUCUCAUGUCACUACUUCGGGAGCCGCCGGGUGGUCUGAUUCCUUCUCCUACCUGCCCCGGUUCCAUGUUCAGGAAUUCCAUCUGCUUGUUGCUUAUUGGGAGAAAGCCUGUCGUCCUUGAGUUCGAUUGGGCUAGGCAAAACCUAGGUACAAUAGAUGUACCAUUGGAUGCACAUGACUUCCGUGCCAUUUUCUGUGGCUGGCACCAGGUCCUGAUUACACGUGGAGACAGUGGAGGUCUCAGCUUCAUUGUUCUAGCAGGCCUCAGUGUCCAUGUAUGGAACAGGACGUCUCAUGGUGAUGGUAAUGCUACAUGGAUUCCUGGGAAUACAAUUCAACUGUACAACUCUUCCCCCGUACGCUCAGCGAGCGGUGGGUCAGGAGCACCUAUUUAUACUAGGGUUGGAUGAAGAUGACAAUGUCUUGUUUAAAUUAACAGAUAGUGAUACUGUCCUCAUGGUUCAUCUUGAGUCAAUGAAGUUCAAGAAACUUCCUCAAAAGAUGCCCUACAUCUUUUGCGCUCCAUUCUCAAGUUUCUAUAAUCCAGGUACCCAUGUGAAUAAUGCUGGACGUGAUGCUGAAGCUCAAAUAUUUGAUCGAGCAUAAAGUGGUUGUCUAGAACAUUCUACUGUGCUUUAUUGGUUGAAAGUGAGUUCGUUUUGGUUGCCCAGAUACAGAAAAGGCUUGUUGGUGUUGAAGCUGUUGCCCAUGUGGGAAUUUACCCAAUAUACUGUGCGUGUACUGGAAAACUGUGGAGUGUACAUCCAGGUGUUAGUUCCCCAAUUUGUGAUACAUCUACUGUAAAAUUAUGUGAGGUCGGUCUAUACAUCCAUUUUGGUUUGUUUGGCUAUGUAUCGUGUUGGUUCUCAGGUGCAUCUGUAUGCAAAUUCAAAAUGAAGAAAUGGAAACAUUUUUAUCACCAUUA